Molecule: ribosomal RNA, 604 nt
Filed under: Aspergillus niger
Lineage: Eukaryota; Fungi; Ascomycota; Eurotiomycetes; Eurotiales; Aspergillaceae
Description: eukaryotic LSU rRNA
Rfam family: 5.8S ribosomal RNA (bases 182-328)
Source: RNAcentral
AGAGAAAGAAGUGCGGGUCUUUGGGCCACCUCCAUCCGUGUCUAUUAUACCCUGUUGCUUCGGUCGGACCGCCGCUUGUCGGCCGCCGGGGGGGCGCCUUUGCAGCCGGGCCCGUGCCCGCCGGAGACCCCACACGAACACUGUCUGAAGCGUGCAGUCUGAGUUGAUUGAUGCAUCAGUUAUUAUUUCACACGCGAUCUCUGGUUUCGGGAUCAAUGAAGAACCCACCGAAAUGCGUAACUAUGUGAUUGGCAGAAUUCAGUGAAUCAUCGAGUCUUUGAACGCACAUUGCGCCCUGGUAUUCGGGGGGAUGCCUGUUCGAGCGUCAUUGCUGCCUCAGCCCGGUGGGUGUGGGGCGCCUCCCCUCUCCGGGGACUGUCCGAAAGAGCGCGGACCCGUCCAACCUCGAGGGAUGGGCUUGUCCAGUCCUUAGAUGGCGGGCCUGCCACUUUCCACAUUUUUCCAGGUGACCCGGAUAGGAGGACUGCUAAUUAGAAGGAUGGGGCCUGGACCACGGUCAUAACUUUUGGGCCGUUGGCGGGGUCUCUCUUUUUCUCGGCAACAGUAAGGUGGGGGUGACAUAACUCCCCCCACACACAAUUGA